RNAcentral lists this ribosomal RNA (513 nucleotides) under uncultured bacterium. RNAcentral's name for it is "partial 16S ribosomal RNA". It matches the Rfam family "Bacterial small subunit ribosomal RNA", at positions 28 to 523 of the family's 1533-position model. The record is from RNAcentral.
GAUGAACGCUGGCGGCGUGCCUAAUACAUGCAAGUCGAACGCACAGCGAAAGGUGCUUGCACCUUUCAAGUGAGUGGCGAACGGGUGAGUAACACGUGGACAACCUGCCUCAAGGCUGGGGAUAACAUUUGGAAACAGAUGCUAAUACCGAAUAAAACUUAGUGUCGCAUGACACAAAGUUAAAAGGCGCUUUUGCGUCACCUAGAGAUGGAUCCGCGGUGCAUUAGUUAGUUGGUGGGGUAAAGGCCUACCAAGACAAUGAUGCAUAGCCGAGUUGAGAGACUGAUCGGCCACAUUGGGACUGAGACACGGCCCAAACUCCUACGGGAGGCUGCAGUAGGGAAUCUUCCACAAUGGGCGAAAGCCUGAUGGAGCAACGCCGCGUGUGUGAUGAAGGCUUUCGGGUCGUAAAGCACUGUUGUAUGGGAAGAACAGCUAGAAUAGGGAAUGAUUUUAGUUUGACGGUACCAUACCAGAAAGGGACGGCUAAAUACGUGCCAGCAGCCGCGGUAA